Long non-coding RNA from Rhinopithecus roxellana (golden snub-nosed monkey), 2178 nucleotides. RefSeq lists it as uncharacterized. The transcript has 3 exons. NCBI's taxonomy places the organism in Eukaryota, Metazoa, Chordata, Mammalia, Primates, Cercopithecidae. The record is from RefSeq and is a predicted model, not a curated record.
AUGACCAGCAGGCCUGGCCACAGGCAGCACCAAAUCCCAUUCCAGGUGCCAGGAAAGGCACACACAGGCCUGGCGCAGGUGGGCUGUCCUCUGGCCACUGCCUGGGUGGACUGGUCUUGGAGACUGGAUGGAGUGCUCAACUUCAGGAGGAAGCCACAACUCACUCACUGUACAACACGAGAGACAGCCGGCACUGCCCUGAGUAAUGUGUGGAGGAUCUGCCUGGAGCUAGCCAGCCUCAUGGCCUGGACAUGGCCUCAGUGAGCCUGUGAUCAGGGCCCUCGGAGCAGAGCCAGCUGCAGGGAGGCAAGUCAGGAGGCCUUUCCUUUUAAGCCCAGGAGAGAAGAACAAAUCAGCCAGGAGGGCAGGACAGACUACAGAGACACUCGUUGAGAAAACUGACUUCUGCUCCAGAGUGGGGGGGCGGAGGGGCCGCUCCACCUGGGCAGUGUGGGGACUGCUGUCCGCCGGAGAAGCUGCCAAGAGCCCGGGAGAGAAGGGCAGAGGGCACAGCACUCCUUCUUUAUAGACAGCAGGGACAAAGGUGGACAGUGACUACGUCACUCUCGAUUCUCUGCCUUUCUGGGAAGGCCUCAUCAUUAAACAUUUUCAGCAUCAUAAUGCUGGCUUAUAAAUGUUAGUAUACCCAAUUCCCAAACCAUUGAUUAAUUACUUUAUUAAAGCUAUGAUUUACGUAAGGAUGAGCAUUUAAUUAGAGACGGGCUUCUGCCAUUUCACAACCCAGGCAGGGGGAAGGGGUGCGGAGGGGCGGCCGCUGUCCCGGGGUGGCCCUUGGUGUCCUGGUCCAGGCUUUCUCCCCUCCCUUCAGAGGCCUCCUGAGCCCGCUGCUGUGCUGUCUGCGCUAGAAGCCCUGCCCUAGGCUGUGCUGAGCAUGCGCACACACACUCCCAACAGGUCAGCGGCCUCACUCUCUACCCUACUCUCCCAGCCAGCCUGCUGUCCGUAGUCUAGCAGGUCUCCUCUUCCCGUUUAGUGACAGAACUGCUCGGCGCAUUACAGAGGUCUCCGAAAGGCUGUGUGUUCAUGAACCUCCCAUGGAGAGGCUCAGAGGAGCAGCCUAAGAGAUGCCUGCACUGUGCAAAAAAAGGGGGGCGCCCUGCAGAGCCAGUGCCGUUGGUGGGGGCAGGAGUGGUCUCCACAGUGCACAUUUGCACAGAUGUUAGGACGAGGCUCUGGGGCACAGAGGGACCAUCUGCCCUGCCUGGAGACUGGUCGAGGGUUGCAGGGCCCAUGUUCACUGCAUGCCCCCAAAAGAGUCAGGGGAAGGCAGUGCCUCCAUCCCCGUGGGGCCGCAGCCUCCUACUUGCCUAGGGAAACCUGCCUCUCGGAGGCCCAGGGAGGCCGCUCCCCUGCUGAGUAGGCAGGCCCCAAACUAAGGUGGAGACUGCAGCAGGGCAGCAGAAGCUGGUCUCAGGCUGGUGGGUGAAAGCUGAGGUUACUGGCAGUUGCCAUGGCAUAAGAUUGCCAGGAUGAGGGCCCACUUGAAGAACAUGCCUGCACUGCCCUAGAGCUCCAUCUUCCUAGCAGCAAAAUGUCAGGGGAACCAGGCCUCCCCGCUUCAAGUGGGACAAGUGUAUGAGCCUGGGGGGCAGGUGGGGAGGGCCCUGCAGGGUGCCUGGGCAGCCUGCGGAGUGGGGGCUCCCUUCGCACCGGGUGUAGCCAGCCGCACUGCAUUAACAGCCACUUCUCCUUCAGAACUUUGCUCUUCAGGUGGGGUCUGGGGUGAGGAAGCCCAGUAACCCAGGAUUUGUACAAGGAAAGCAGCUUCCUGUGGCUUGGCUUCUUACAAGUGUCUUAAAAGAACCGUCUUGGUACCUCUAGGCCACCAAAAGUUCAGAAAACACUGCAAGAGACACUGGGACACUCUAAAGCCAGGCCCAGAGAAGGAAUGCCGAGGAGAGGCCCAGCGGGAAGGGGUUUUGCCCAGCACCCUCUGCUGGUCCCGGGCUCCCUGUGCAGGGAGCUAUGCCAGCAUGCUGAGGGUGUUCGAUGAGGGCAGAGGCUCACAACUGCAGAAGCCAUGGACUCCUGAAGAAAUGGACCACGCACCUUCUCUCCAGCAAAGUGUCCUCUCUCCAAAGAGCUUUGAAUCUCAGAGAAUCUGAAGCCCCCACCACACGGGGCCCAUCCAGAGCCCUGGCCCAGAGCAGCAGAGGA